UGUGAAAAGUAAAAAGUAAGAGGAUUAUAAGUGGUGGGGUAUAGUCCAAAAAUAGGUAGGAAGUUCUUUUGUGGACGUCCCAAAAAGGAAAGAUAGGAAGUUCUUUCGUGGACGGAUGGAGUAUUUAUUUUUAAUAAUUAAAAUAUAAAUUUUAUUGUUGAUAAUUUGAACAUAUUAGUCAUUACUAUCAUUUUUAUGUCCUCAUGUUUCUUUUUCUUUUCUUUUUUCUUUUUUAAAGAUUUGAUGUCAUCAUGAUUUUUUUUUUGAUGAAAAUACGAAAUAAAUAAAUAAAGAAAAGACGGAACACACAAGAACUUGAGCUUACCCAAGGGGAAUACAAAAGCCACCAAAGAAACUCCCAACCUCAAGUGAGAUUUGGGGGGGGGGGGGGCGUGGAGGGGAAGGGAUGGGAAACCUUAAAGAAGGUAGCCAACCAAAAAGCACUAAAAAAACUAGUCUAAAUUAAAAACACAAGACUAGACUAGUAGAAAAGCCGAACAUACUAAUAUUAGCAACUGAAACUUUGCAACUUCUUCUGCUUCUCUAUCUUCCUUCAACGUUUUUGUUGUUUUCUUCUCGUUUUUUUUUUUUUAAUCGCUGAAAUCCCCGGGCAGCCAUGUCACGGAUGUAAUCAAAGGUGGGAGCCUUGUUGGGAGGUCACGAGCCAUGCAGCCAUCAGCCCGCAAAACAGCAACUACAUCCGCAGCACACUUCAUGGCAAGGGGUGAUCAAGGGCAGGAAGUAUCCUUGGGAAGGUUCCAGCAGAAACCAAACCUCCUGAAACAAGAAGAAGGGCCCCUAAAGGUCGUAUCCAUCCCCUCUAAAAGACCCGUAUUUAACAUUAAGGAAUAGAGUUACCCGGGAUAAGGAUGCAGAUUGUAUGCUGAUUCGUGUCGAGAUGAGCACGGAAUGUUUCCUCCAUGUGGUGACCAAAGAGGACGGCAUAGAUGUCUUUGAUAAUGUCAAGAGCGAUUUUCUUUGCCAGGAAGGGUUCAUUAUCAAACACCACACGGUUUCUUGCUGACCACAGAUGAUAGGUGGUGGUAGGCAUAAUGAGAGUUAGAGUUUUCGGUAAAUGGCCAAGCCACGACCCUUUUCAUACAAAUGUUUCACAGCACUUGAAAGAGUAGUCAUUGAGUGUGAGAUUUUAGCCCAUUCUCUCAAGUACACCCAAACUUUUGAAGUUCCUGCACAAGAGAAAAAGAGAUGAGAAUUAGACUCCAAAUCCUUUUUACAAAUGCUGCAAACUUUAGAGAUUUGUUUAAAACUAAUGCGGUC
This 1278-nucleotide long non-coding RNA is filed under the name Salvia miltiorrhiza (redroot sage). Its description in RNAcentral is "long non-coding RNA (SMIL_LNC013069)". The record is from RNAcentral. Lineage: Eukaryota; Viridiplantae; Streptophyta; Magnoliopsida; Lamiales; Lamiaceae.